GAAUAAUCGCAAUUUGUCCAGAAUUGUUUGUUCAGAAAGCAUUGAUUCUGACCUCAGGUUUCUAUACACAAUCUCCAAGCUGUGGAUGCUAACAUGUCUGGACAUGCAUGGUGUCCUUCUGUUGUUGGUAGUGGCACCACAGUUAGAGUACCUCUCCUUGUUGUUGAUGGAAAUCAUGUUGCUUUGAAAGUGUUGGCUGCCUGUAGCAUUGGGCUGUACGCUGAAUGUUAAUUGGGUAGAUGUCUUUCAGGAGUCUCCAGUGGGUCCCUGCCUGCAGGGCGUCUUCUCAGCACCAUCAGGACAGUCUCCUGGGCCAUAUGAUGAGGCCGUUUAUUUUAGGAGCCCGGUACUCAUCGAAGAGUCUGACAUGCAUGCAUGCUCUAUCCACCAAAGAAGAGCAGCAACAUCCCAGUGAACUCUAGAAAGUUACCUCUGCCACACACACAGACUCACAAACACACACGCACGGUUAAUUACAUUAACUAUGUGCCUCAAACCAGGCUUGCCAUAUUGCUCUGUUUCCAGUCAUGUGCACACUAAGUAGGGUGAUGCAUGUGCACACUAAGUAGGGUGAUGCUUUACACAUGUAUGGCUCACCGGUUAUCUGGCUUGUCUGUGUCUGUAUGGAUACACCUUUUGAGGAUGUUCCAUACCUGAGACUUUAUAACUGUGGUGUGGAGUGUGUCUCCUCCAUCGUCAUUAGCCGUUUUUGGCCUCCCUGCUUUUAUGAUGUGUUUGACUGAAGCAGAGAGCCCCACACGGUGACUGGCUGCUAGGCUGAGCAGCCAAAGAAAUGCUGAAUGAAUGCAAAGUAAACAAAUGUGCUUCUGCAAUGGCUGUCAUAAUUACUGCAUUACUUAGCCUGGCUAUGUAGUAAAUAUGGAAAUGAAGGUAAACCCAAAUUGCAUUGCUUGUCCUGAAAUUGUCCCUCAAAGUCACUGCUUUCUUCCAUUGCAGCGUGUGGUGGAUGGAUUAAGGUGGUAGCCUAUAACUGUCCCCAAUUUUUGUCUUUGAGGCAUGAAUGUUUAAUUUUAAUUAUAAAUAAUGUGGUAAUGGUUUAUUGAUGAGAGUCUGUGUCCCAGGGUGCCGCGUGCUAAUUGGCCAAGGCUGAACUGUGCUUAGGAUGUGUGUGAUUAGAGAACUAAACCAAGCCAGUCACCUUGGAUAAUUCACACAGGUGGGCAUUGCUGGGAGGACCCCACCAUCUGUCUGUGUGCCCAGAUUUAAAAUAGCCUCUCCUCAUCAGCUGUUUAGCAAAUAGCUACUAAUCGACUGUCUGCACAAAGGCCUGUUUGAAAAGGCUUGGCCACGGUCCCCACUGAGCGUAUAGGUACAGAAUGUUUCUGGUAUUAUAUACACUAACACAGAUUUCUCUUUGAUGUGUAUUUAGAUCAAUCUAGAGAUGUAGAUUGAUUUAGACUGGUUGUGAGACACUCAGGGGAGAAGUGUCAUCUCUCAGAGGGCAGCUGACGUUGACACUUGAACCAAAAAUGGACCGCCACGGGGCUGGAGCCUGCUAACGAAGCCCCCAGGCAGCCAGUUCGUCACCCCUGCCGGCCUGUAGGCUACUAAUACGCUACUGCUGUUCCUCACACCACUUUGAGCGUCCCAAGCCAACACGGAGAGUGAGAAGAACACAGACCACAUGCCAGAGGCAGCUCCUGUACCAGAGGGACAGAGAGUGGAGGUCAAAACCAGAAGGGCCAGAGGAGAGAGAUAGUCGAGGUCAAGCCCAGAAGGGCCAGAGGAGAGCGAGUGGAGGUCAAACCCAGAAGGGCCAGAGGAGAGAGAGUGGAGUAUAAACCCCGGAGGACCAGACGAGAGCACAAUCAGGACCUGAAUAGUAGUUAUUCCUAUAAACUCAAACAGGCCCAAUUGCACAAUGUCCUUUUAUCAAAUACUAACCUGUGUAGGGAGUUGGAAGGUAAUCUCUCAAAAAAGAGCCUGCUUGUUCUCAACUAGCCUUAUCAUGUGGAUUUAAAAAAUGUUGUUCAUUAAAUAAAAAUAAAAAAGUAGUGCUAUAAUCACUUUUACAGCAAAUUGAUAUAGCCAUUUCCCAUAAUAAAGCCAGCUUUUUUUAUAUGAAAGCCAACCACUAAGUACAUCAUGAAGCUCUGGCGCACAGCAUUUGAUUUAGCCUAACCCCAGACAGUGUAUCAAAUGUGUGUGUUAGUUCACAUCAUGCCGUAAUCUCCUCCUGUUUACUGGAGAGUCUUGCUACUGGAUCUUAUUCUUUCUGCAUCUCUCUGCACUGCAUAGUGCUCUGCUCAGCACUGUGACAUCAUCAUUCAGUGCUUAACAACAUUGGUGCCCAAAGGCAUGGGACCUUUGGCCAUAUGGCUUAACGGCUCCCCCUGACCAGGAUCCAGUCCAGAUCGCUUAUGGAUGCUGGCUGGUGUAGUACCAGCAGUGCUGUUUACAAAAGCAAUUUGG
Molecule: long non-coding RNA, 2433 nt
Filed under: Salmo salar (Atlantic salmon)
Lineage: Eukaryota; Metazoa; Chordata; Actinopteri; Salmoniformes; Salmonidae
Description: lncRNA (ENSSSAG00000086797.1)
Source: RNAcentral